AGAUUGAACGCUGGCGGCAGGCCUAACACAUGCAAGUCGAGCGGCAGCACGGGUACUUGUACCUGGUGGCGAGCGGCGGACGGGUGAGUAAUGCCUAGGAAUCUGCCUGAUAGUGGGGGAUAACGUUCGGAAACGGACGCUAAUACCGCAUACGUCCUACGGGAGAAAGUGGGGGAUCUUCGGACCUCACGCUAUCAGAUGAGCCUAGGUCGGAUUAGCUAGUUGGUAGGGUAAAGGCCUACCAAGGCGACGACGGGUAGCCGACCUGAGAGGGUGACCGGCCACACUGGGACUGAGACACGGCCCAGACUCCUACGGAGGCAGCAGUGGGAAUAGUUGCACGAAUGGGACGAAAGGCCUGAUGCAGCGACGCCGCGUGAGGAUGAAGGCCUUCGGGUUCGUAAACCGUCUUUCGAGCGAGGACGAAGCGCGAAGUGACGUACC
RNAcentral lists this ribosomal RNA (444 nucleotides) under uncultured soil bacterium. Its description in RNAcentral is "bacterial SSU rRNA". It matches the Rfam family "Bacterial small subunit ribosomal RNA", at positions 26 to 466 of the family's 1533-position model. The record is from RNAcentral.